UACGUAGGGGGCAAGCGUUGUCCGGAAUUAUUGGGCGUAAAGAGCGUGUAGGCGGUCCGGUCAGUCGGUUGUGAAAGUCAAGGGCUCAACCCUUGAAUGCCGGCCGAUACUGCCGGGCUAGAGUCCGGAAGAGGUGAGUGGAAUUCCUGGUGUAGCGGUGAAAUGCGCAGAUAUCAGGAGGAACACCGAUGGCGAAGGCAGGUCUCUGGGCAUUAACUGACGCUGAGGAGCGAAAGCAUGGGGAGCGAACAGG
RNAcentral lists this ribosomal RNA (253 nucleotides) under uncultured bacterium. RNAcentral's name for it is "partial 16S ribosomal RNA". It matches the Rfam family "Bacterial small subunit ribosomal RNA", at positions 524 to 776 of the family's 1533-position model. The record is from RNAcentral.